Non-coding RNA from Rattus norvegicus (Norway rat), 69 nucleotides. Lineage: Eukaryota; Metazoa; Chordata; Mammalia; Rodentia; Muridae. The record is from Rfam.
GGGGAUUUAGCUCAGUGGUAGAGCGCUUGCCUAGCAAGCACAAGGGCCUGGGUUCGGUCCCCAGCUCCA